UACGAAGGGGGCUAGUGUUGCUCGGAAUUACUGGGCGUAAAGGGCGCGUAGGCGGACAGUUUAGUCAGAGGUGAAAGCCCAGGGCUCAACCUUGGAAUUGCCUUUGAUACUGGCUGUCUUGAGUUCGGGAGAGGUGAGUGGAAUGCCGAGUGUAGAGGUGAAAUUCGUAGAUAUUCGGCGGAACACCAGUGGCGAAGGCGACUCACUGGCCCGAUACUGACGCUGAGGCGCGAAAGCGUGGGGAGCAAACAGG
RNAcentral lists this ribosomal RNA (253 nucleotides) under uncultured bacterium. RNAcentral's name for it is "partial 16S ribosomal RNA". It matches the Rfam family "Bacterial small subunit ribosomal RNA", at positions 524 to 776 of the family's 1533-position model. The record is from RNAcentral.